Long non-coding RNA from Trifolium pratense (red clover), 2238 nucleotides. RefSeq lists it as uncharacterized. The record is from RefSeq and is a predicted model, not a curated record. The transcript has 5 exons. NCBI's taxonomy places the organism in Eukaryota, Viridiplantae, Streptophyta, Magnoliopsida, Fabales, Fabaceae.
ACAUAAACUCCAUAUUCUGUGUUGCAUCUGCUGAAACCUUGUUUCACAAGGAAUCUAUCAAUUCUUUUGUUCCAAACUCUUGGAGCUUGCUUCAAACCAUAUAGGGCUUUCUUCAACCUGUAUACCAUGUUUUCUUUACCUUUUAUCACAAAACCAGGAGGUUGAGUCACAAAAACUACUUCUUCUAAUGGUCCAUUUAAAAAAGCAGAUUUGACAUCUAGAUGGUACAUAGGCCAAUCUCUUGCAUUUGCUAUAGCUACUACCAGCCUUACAGUCUCAAUUCUAGCAACAGGUGAGUAAACCUCUUAGUAAUCCAGCCCUUCUCUUUGCAGAAAACCUCUUACAACCAAUCUUGCUUUGUGCUUUGCUAUGAAACCAUCUGGGUUGAGCUUCAAUUUGAACACCCAUUUUACUGCUAUUGCUUUCUUGCCUGAUGGUAACUUGACUAUCUCCCAUGUCUGAUUCUUCUCAAUGGCACAUACACUACAAGAAAAAAGGAAUAUCACGACAGGCAAACUGCAGCGGUUGCAUUCUAGCCGUCGUCGCUUUUCCCUUUUGUGGCAGUUACUGUAGCAGUUCCUUUCCGCCGUCGCAUUUUUCCCCCUUUUUGCAUCUUAUCUCUUUAAUCUACCCAAACCCAAACACUUCAUUAACCCAAAUCCCUAAUCGAUUUCAGUUUUCCUUCUCGUCUCAGAUCUGUACUCUUCGAACCCAAAUCGAUUUCAGUUCGUCAAACCCAAAUCACUUCAUGCCUCAGAUCUUCGAUUUCUCUCUUCACACACCUUGAAUCCCUAAUAAAUUUCGAAAUUUCCCUAUCUCACGGUUUGCUUAACUUCGAAAUUUCGAUUCAUUAUGUCUUCUCAACGCUCUCUGCUUUCUCUGAUUUUGUUUUCAUUGUAAACAGUUGCUGCAUGUUAAGUUGAGACAGCUUUAUGCAAGAUUUGCUUCAAAUUUUGGAACUGAUUCUUAGAAGAGUGAUUCUGGCAAGAGGAACCCCAACAACCAAAUGCUUGGAAGGCCUGUGAGUUGCAAUGGAGGCUUGCAAUGGCUUUGCAGUAACUUAUGUUCCAUUAGAUGACACUCUUGGUAUGUCUUUUCUUCCUUCUCGGCCUUGUUUGGAUUAAAAUCUUAAUUAAGCAAUUACCAUAUAAGUUCUUACGUAUAAGCUAGUUUAUAGUAAAAGAUAAAUAAACUCAAAUUAUAUUCAUAUAUAAGCUAUCUUAAAGAGUUUAUAGAAAUAAACUAAAAACAACUUAUGAACAUGUCAUAAGUUUCUUCCAUAAUUAAGCUCUCACAAAGACACAAAAAGUCUCGUAAAUACUUAUGAUAGUAGAAAACCUCAAAUAAGUUACUCACAGUCCAGAUUUUGUCAUGUCUUGCUUUACCUGAAUCAUCUUUGAACUUUUCUCGCUAUGACGGUAUCAGGUCAGUGGUUGACUCCCCAUGUAACCCCCCUCUCUCUCUCUCCCUGCAUAUACACACACAACUGAACACAGUGUUUUGUUGUGUUCUUAUUUUCAUUGAUAAAUAAUUUUGUUUGGCUUGGAUCCAUUUUCUCUAUUCUAGAUAUGGAAACAAGUUUACGCUGAUUAGUUGGACUCUCUCUUUGGAGAUUCCUAAGCCAGAGGGUUAAGCUCUAAGGUGACAACGAGAGGUUUGGGAUCUAUAAGAAGACGUUUUAUGUGAGUUAAUGUGUUACAAGCAAUAACCGCUACAAGUAAUAGCUUUAAGGAGGCACUAAAUCAAAAUAAUAUCUUCAUUUCCCUUGAGCUGCUAAUAAAAUUGGUAGAAAGAAAACUGAUCUUUUGGCUAAAUAUGUUGGUGACUUCAUGACUAUAAGUAUUUUUCAUUUUUCUUAUUGGCUAGAUUUUUAUCUCAUACUUCUGAUUUUAUGUGAACUGGAUAAGUUAGGUUGAGGUUUCCAUUACUGGUAUUCAACUUCACCAACAAAUAUGAGGUGCUCGUCAUAUUGUCACAAAGCUAGUAGUCAUGGAGAUGCAUAUUUUUAAUUUUAGUGUUUACCAAAGAAGAAUAGAUACUUAGAUAUCAUAAUUUUGCUGUGUUUGUUAUUAAGUUUGAACCAUUAGCAAACUUAGUAUUUUGAUACUUAAAGUAGUCAUGCAUAUAGAUUGUUAUGCUGAAUUUUUGCACUAUGUAUGUAAAGCUACUGGAGCUCAUUUGUAUUCGAAUUUAAUGUAUGAAAUUCCAUUUAAAUUUGAAUCGUUAUUUUAUUUUGAA